UACGUAGGGUGCGAGCGUUAAUCGGAAUUACUGGGCGUAAAGCGUGCGCAGGCGGUUCGUUGUGUCGGUGGUGAAAGCCCCGGGCUUAACCUGGGAAUGGCCAUGGAAACUGGCGAACUGGAGUGUGGCAGAGGGGGGUGGAAUUCCGCGUGUAGCAGUGAAGUGCGUAGAGAUGCGGAGGAACACCGAUGGCGAAGGCAGCCCCCUGGGCUAGCACUGACGCUCAGGCACGAAAGCGUGGGGAGCAAACAGG
This 253-nucleotide ribosomal RNA is filed under the name uncultured bacterium. Its description in RNAcentral is "partial 16S ribosomal RNA". It matches the Rfam family "Bacterial small subunit ribosomal RNA", at positions 524 to 776 of the family's 1533-position model. The record is from RNAcentral.